UCCUGUGUUGCUUGCCGCGGCGACGGAAAUUGACCCCGGAUGAGUGCUAAUCUUUGCCUCUCACCAAUUUGCGGUGUUAGGUCGAUGCGGRAGUACUGCCCAUUGUUCCUUGAAUGCUUCGCUCGUUCGCGUCGCAAUCAUGGCCCAUGGGUUGCUACUAGUUCCCUCGGAUGCAGAACUUUUGAAGGGUGCACGGCUUGUUGAUGUUGUUUACCCACAAAGCGUGUUCAUCGCUCGAUGCGUACGACGGUUGGGCCCGUCUUGGUCCCCCGUCCAACUGUGUUUGGACGGGGGUCAUGCGGUGCCGGCGUCGCGAAGGAAUGCUACCUGGUUGAUCCUGCCAGUAGUCAUAUGCUUGUCUCAA
RNAcentral lists this unclassified non-coding RNA (364 nucleotides) under Diploon cuspidatum. Its description in RNAcentral is "partial contains external transcribed spacer and 18S ribosomal RNA". The record is from RNAcentral. Lineage: Eukaryota; Viridiplantae; Streptophyta; Magnoliopsida; Ericales; Sapotaceae.